UAGGGAAUCUUGCGCAAUGGGGGAAACCCUGACGCAGCGACGCCGCGUGAGUGAUGAAGGCCUUAGGGUUGUAAAGCUCUGUCCUUGGGGACGAAAUUUGACUGUACCCAAGAAGAAAGGACCGGCUAACUUCGUGCCAGCAGCCGCGGUAAUACGAGGGGUCCAAACGUUGCUCGGAAUCAUUGGGCGUAAAGCGGGCGCAGGCGGCUGGGUAAGUCAGGAGUGAAAGCCCUGGGCUCAACCCAGGAAGUGCUUUUGAUACUGCUCAGCUUGAGUGUGGGAGAGGGUAGCGGAAUUCCAGGUGUAGUGGUGAAAUACGUAGAUAUCUGGAGGAACACCGGUGGCGAAGGCGGCUACCUGGCCCAACACUGACGCUCAGGCCCGAAAGCGUGGGGAGCAAACA
This 403-nucleotide ribosomal RNA is filed under the name uncultured bacterium. RNAcentral describes it as "bacterial SSU rRNA". It matches the Rfam family "Bacterial small subunit ribosomal RNA", at positions 355 to 774 of the family's 1533-position model. The record is from RNAcentral.